AUCAAUAAACAUGCCACUUUUAUAGUAAAAGAGUUUAUCCUAAAAAGAGGCAGUGGGAAGAAAAUUAAACUUAGAGAAGUUCAAGAUUCACAAAUGCAAGCACAAGAUGAUCCUCAAUCAAAAAUAUCCAUUAAUGAAGUACAACCAUAAAAUACACCUCCUCUUCGAACGUCGGAUAGAGUGCGGAAUGCACCUAUAAGGUAUGGGUUCGUUAUUGAGAAUAAUAAAGCCCACAUCAUUGAGAAUGAUGAACCUUUGACCUAUACGGAAGCCAUCAUGAGUAGGGAC
RNAcentral lists this long non-coding RNA (288 nucleotides) under Elaeis guineensis (African oil palm). Its description in RNAcentral is "long non-coding RNA (EGUI_LNC065000)". The record is from RNAcentral. Lineage: Eukaryota; Viridiplantae; Streptophyta; Magnoliopsida; Arecales; Arecaceae.